CUUUUACAAUGAAGAGUUUGAUCCUGGCUCAGGAUGAACGCUAGCUACAGGCUUAACACAUGCAAGUCGAGGGGCAUCAGGAAGAAAGC
This 89-nucleotide ribosomal RNA is filed under the name Bacteroides fragilis. RNAcentral's name for it is "partial 16S ribosomal RNA". Lineage: Bacteria; Pseudomonadati; Bacteroidota; Bacteroidia; Bacteroidales; Bacteroidaceae. The record is from RNAcentral.